RNAcentral lists this long non-coding RNA (228 nucleotides) under Brassica napus (rape). RNAcentral's name for it is "long non-coding RNA (BNAP_LNC009371)". Lineage: Eukaryota; Viridiplantae; Streptophyta; Magnoliopsida; Brassicales; Brassicaceae. The record is from RNAcentral.
AUUUAUAAAUAUAGAAAAAUGUUGUUAAAUAUUUUUAAAAAAAUUUAAAAACGCUUUAAAAAAUCAAAAAACGUUUUUAAAAAUCAAAAAACGUUUUUAAAAAUAAAAAAAACGUUUUAAAAAAUCAAAACAACGUUUUUUAAAAUCAAAAAACGUUUUUAAAAAUCAAAAAAUGUUCCAAAAAAAAACUAAAACAACAAUCCAAACAACAAUCCUAACUUAUAUAUC